Molecule: ribosomal RNA, 245 nt
Filed under: Aeromonas caviae
Lineage: Bacteria; Pseudomonadati; Pseudomonadota; Gammaproteobacteria; Aeromonadales; Aeromonadaceae
Description: partial 16S ribosomal RNA
Rfam family: Bacterial small subunit ribosomal RNA
Source: RNAcentral
GCGAAGGCGGCCCCCUGGACAAAGACUGACGCUCAGGUGCGAAAGCGUGGGGAGCAAACAGGAUUAGAUACCCUGGUAGUCCACGCCGUAAACGAUGUCGAUUUGGAGGCUGUGUCCUUGAGGCGUGGCUUCCGGAGCUAACGCGUUAAAUCGACCGCCUGGGGAGUACGGCCGCAAGGUUAAAACUCAAAUGAAUUGACGGGGGCCCGCACAAGCGGUGGAGCAUGUGGUUUAAUUCGAUGCAA